RNAcentral lists this long non-coding RNA (2132 nucleotides) under Homo sapiens (human). RNAcentral's name for it is "HSALNT0188098". Lineage: Eukaryota; Metazoa; Chordata; Mammalia; Primates; Hominidae. The record is from RNAcentral.
CUAUUCAUAGGUGCAAUUGUAGUGUUCUAUAGCCUUGAACUCCUGAGCUCAAGAAAUCCUCCUGCCUCAGCCUCCUGAGUAUCUAGGACUACAGGUGUGGGCCACCAUGCCCAGCUCAUAUUGUUUUUUUUUUUUUUAAUCAUGAAUUAAGAAAUCAGUCUCCUGAGUAAGAAAAACAUCAAAUAGCUUAUUUUAGUAAAGAGAACAAAAAUAACUAAUUAGCUAAAGCUUUCAUUUUUAUAGAUUAUAUUGAUAUUGUAUAUAUAACCAGGAAAAGUCAGCCAAAAUAAAAUGAAAAAAUUUUAAUUAGAUUGCAUUAUAAUAUAUAUUUACAGCUUGCCUGCCUCUGUAAGAAAAUCAUGCAAUAAAAUAAAGCAUACGAAACAAAACCAUAAAAGGGAAACUAGAGAAGAAAAUUACAUUAAGAAAACAUCCUUGAGAAAAGUCAUAGCACUUUAACAUGACACUUGGCUCUGAGUUUCCUGUAAGCCACCGUGAAGAGGAAAACAUGAUGAAAUACACACUUCUUAUUGUCCAAUAGAAGGAAAGAUUGUAGUUCAACAGAAGAGACAAACUUUUUCCUGGCCCUGAGAUAAUUUAUCAUAUCUGUACUUAUAUAGAUGACAUGGAGAAAAUAGAAACAGGAUCCUGAAUGUCAAUUUUACAAAUAAAGAUGAAAGACAAAAUAUAUGUGAGACCGUUUCUGUUUUCAGGAGUGAGUGAGAGAUGAGGACAUAACAUUCAGUCAUGGCGCUACAAAAGCUGUUUCCUAAAGGUUUUAAAUUUUCAGGUCCUUGUAAGAUUUCCUUUGAAAGGAAAGGUCUGCUGGAAGAUGGACAAAUCUGCAGUAUUAGACACGUUUAUUGAUGAAGCUUUCCCUGACCACCCUAUUUAAAAAGCACCCACCUGUCCUGGUCCAGCACUCCUUAUCUGCUUUCCCUGCUUUGUUUUUCUCAACAAAGCUUAUCAACAUUCAAUUUACUAUAUAAUUUACUUCCUUAUUUUGUGUAUGGGUCAGGGUUAGAGCAGGAAACAGUACCCUCGAACUGGAUGACUUGGGACAGUGUAAUAAAAGAGUGGUUAACAAAGGUGUGGGCAAGGUUUAGGGAAGCUUCAGAGGGCUGCUGUAAUGUGAUGGGACCAGCAACCAUGGUGGUGGUGCUGGUGGGAGCCAUUGCCACCCCAAGGCCUAUAGGGUCAAAGUGAGAGAACAGUUACCAGGACAGAGAGAGGCACCUAGAAAGGAUAGCAAUGUGGAGCGGGCUGCCUCUGGGAGAAGGAUGCAGCCAUCCCUUGAUGAGUCAACUCAACUUGUCAACUCCUCUUGUUCUCUGAUCUCUUGCAAGUUCCUCCCAUUGGCUAAAUCUACCUGGAGGCAGAAGAGAAAGUGAGCUUAUGGAUGCAGUCUAUACAGAUGGGCCUCGCAGGGCACAGAUCAGAGUGGAGAGUGGACCAGGAGGUGGAAACAGACGAUGUCUUCUAUAUUUCAUUUGUCUUUUUCCUCCCACUAAAACAUAAGUUCUAUGAAGGAUGGGAUUUCUUUUUUUUUAGAUGCGGUCUCGCUCUUGUUGCCCAGGCUAGAGUGUGGUGGCACAGUCAUAGUUCACUGCACCCUCAAACUCCUGGGCUCAAACAAUCCUCCCACCUCGGCUUCCCAAAGCACUGGGAUUACAGGUUAUCUGCUUCCAUCUCUUGCAUACCUUGUGCUUGGAUGAGUGCCUGACUCAGAGUUGGCGCUCGGUAAAUAGUUCUUCAGUAAAGGAAUAUCAGUUGUUUUCAUGUGAGUUUCAAAACUCAACUACAGUAGUGUAGUCACCACAGUCUAUUUAUAUCACCACAGGAGAUACUUUUUAAAUUUGUUCUGUCUCCCUGAUUUAUAUGAGUAAUGGUUAACACUCUCUUCUCUCUCUCUUUCUCUCUCUCUCUCUCUAUAUAUAUAUACACACAUACAUAUAUAUACUUAUAUAUGUAUGUAUGUAUAUAGUUUGUGUGUGUGCUUGUAGCCACCAAAUUAGUGUAUAUAAAAUUAUUAUAUUAUUAUAUUAUUAGUUCUUUUGAAAUGGUCUUCAGCUAGAUUUUGAGUAACCAUAUUUAGAAGAAAAACCUCCUACACAGGUAUUUUCUGUUUAUUA